CAGUCGCCGCGGUAAUACGAAGGGUGCAAGCGUUACUCGGAAUUACUGGGCGUAAAGCGUGCGUAGGUGGUGGUUUAAGUCCGUUGUGAAAGCCCUGGGCUCAACCUGGGAAUGGCAGUGGAUACUGGCAAACUAGAGUGUGUCAGAGGAUGGUGGAAUUCCCGGUGUAGCGGUGAAAUGCGUAGAGAUCGGGAGGAACAUCAGUGGCGAAGGCGGCCAUCUGGGACAACACUGACGCUGAGGCACGAAAGCGUGGGUAGCAAACAGGAUUAGAUACCCCCGUAGUCCCUGUCUCUUAUAC
Molecule: ribosomal RNA, 301 nt
Filed under: uncultured bacterium
Lineage: Bacteria
Description: partial 16S ribosomal RNA
Rfam family: Bacterial small subunit ribosomal RNA
Source: RNAcentral